This 440-nucleotide long non-coding RNA is filed under the name Ananas comosus (pineapple). RNAcentral describes it as "long non-coding RNA (ACOM_LNC013138)". Lineage: Eukaryota; Viridiplantae; Streptophyta; Magnoliopsida; Poales; Bromeliaceae. The record is from RNAcentral.
AAAAUAAUCCUGCCAAUUUUAUUUUUGGCAAUCGUUCACCCUACCUUUUAAAGGCGGUGAAUCGUUUACUGCAUUCAUUAAGGCGGUUAAUAAUUCACCGUCUUUAUUAGAAUUUAUAUAAGAAAUAGGAAAAAGUGAGAUUAUUAUACAUGGAUUAUUAGAAUUUUUAUUUGAUUGUUAGGAUUGUAUAGAUAUUUUAUUAGAAUUUUCAGAUUGUUAAAAUUAUAUGUGAUUUGUUGAAAUUUUUAUGUGGUUGUUAAAAUUAUAUAUAAGAUAUAAAAAGAAACACUAAAUAAGCUAGAGACGGUGAAUGAUUCACUAUUUUUGUGAAAAAAUUAGGAAGGCGGUGAAUCGUUAACCGUCUUUAUGUAGGCGGUGAAUCGCUCAUCAUCUAGAAAAUUCCAACGUGCCUCGUACAUGGCAAACGAAGGGUUAGUUUG